Molecule: long non-coding RNA, 3011 nt
Organism: Trifolium pratense (red clover)
Lineage: Eukaryota; Viridiplantae; Streptophyta; Magnoliopsida; Fabales; Fabaceae
Exons: 3
Source: RefSeq, a predicted model, not a curated record
CUGCUUUCUCUUUAAGCAACCUGGGAGGGUCGAGCACUUUGGUUUUGAAGUCUUCACCAAAGGUGGAUAUAAAAACUGGAAGAGUGCAUCCAAUGGAUUGAAAGAUCAUGUUGGUGGUCAUGGUAGUAUGCACAACUCAUGUAUGAAGCACUAUGAUGAUUAUAAUAAUCAAAGACAAAGUAUAGCAAGUAAGUGUCUUAGAGCAACGAGAAUCUGAAGAAUUGUACAAGAUCUGUUUGACUUGUUCCUUAGAUUGUUCAAGAUAUCUCAUAGCACAAGGCAUGGCUUUCCGUGGCCAUAAGGAAUCCCUUACUUCUCUAAACAAGGGCAAUUUUAGAGAGACGGUAGAUUGGGUAAAAUCUAAUGAUGAACAAGUGAGAGAUGCUUUUGACUGUGGUGCAAAAGAUUGCAUAAUGAUUUGCAGUGACAUUCAAAAGGACUUUGCAAUGUCUUGUGCACAUGAAGUUACCAAGGUGAUUAUGGAAGAGCUUGGUGAUAGACAAUUCUCUGUGCUUAUUGAUGAGUCACAUGAUAUAUACGUCAAAGAGCAAAUGGCGGUGAUGUUUAGGUUAGUAGUUGUAUCUUCCAAUUUCUAUUUCCAAUGUCACUAAUCUUCAUCAUUACCGGGCUGAUAUUUUUUAUGUUGCUAUUGACAAAAUAUGUGUGGAGAUGGAUCACCGCUUUAAUGAAGGAAGUAACAUUGUGCUUAAUUGUUUCUCAUGUCUUGACCCCAAGAAUUCUUUCUCCAAGUUUGAUGUUGAUAAGGUUGCUCGUCUUGCUGAUAUUUAUCAUGCAGACUUUUCUGAUGUAGACCGUGGAACAAUAAGGGAGCAACUUGAGACUUAUGUAGUUCACGUGAAAAGACAUGUUUCAUUUUCUACUUGUGGAGAUGUUCAAAGUUUGGCUAUGAAGAUGGUUCAAACUAGUAAACAUUUUGUAUUUCCAUUGGUCUACAAACUUAUUGAGUUGGCUUUGAUAUUACCGGUAUCGACAGCAUUCGUUGAAAGAGCUUUUUCCGCAAUGAAGAUUAUUAAGACUAAAUUGCGCAACAAGAUCAACGAUGAGUGGUUCAAUGACUUGAUGAUAUGUUACACCGAGCGGGAGAUAUUCAAGUCACUUGAUGAUGUUGAUAUUAUCAGAACCUUCACCGCAAAGAAGUCUCGGAAAGAGAAUUUGCCUCCUAGUUUUAUGUAGUACACUAUUGGUAUGUUAUAUUUCAUCCCUCUUAUUUGACUCAUGUUUUAUUGGUUUAAAUAUUACUGUAUCUAGAAAUUGGGUUGAUAAAAUUCCCUCCAAAAUUUUGCCUAGACUCUCUAACAUUCCUGGAAUCGCCAAAGAUCAUGCCAUACUUAGAUGAUUUCCAACCACAAAAAGCGUCUAAUAGUAGAGGAGGGAGCAUCCACAAGGGUGGACAAACAUCCGGUGCUUCAUUUCGUGCUCAACUUUUCCAAGAUAAUGAACCUGAUCCAACAAUGUUAAACGUGCACGAGUACUUCCACAAAAAACCUAACGGGAUAUGGGAUACAGUAGAAGCGGCACGAGUACAAAGAGAGAUGGAACAGUUUGAAGAAAGUUUUAAUGCUCAAUAAAAUGCUCUUCCACCUAGUGAGCAGGCUAUUGAAGAGGUUAGAGACACAAUAAUUGCUAGACCAAUUUGUCGAGGUUGCUGGCGGGAUGCAAAAAAAAAAAGUCUAAGGGGGCAAGGCAAUGCAUCUUCAUUGGUGAUAAAGACCCCGAUGGGAUAUAGACUUGAUCCUAGCUCCACUCUUAGUAACGUAUGAUCGAGUAGUUAUACGGAUCGAUCUCAUGCAGCUGUCAAUUUUGAAGAGAUGGAACGCUGACUUAAAGCUGACAAUGAUGCUUGGGUUCAAGCCGAGGUUGCAUCUCAGCUCAAAUCUCAUCUCGACACAAUGAGGUCGCAGCUCCGAGUUGAAACAAUGGAGGACAUGGAUUUAAUUAUCCAAAGGACACUUUUACAACGCGAUAUUCGGGGGCAACAAUAUCAACGUCAACCACAACAGCAAAACUCCCAAAAUAUGUUUGCUCGCCACUCAGCAUAUGUCAGCUCGAAUCCUCAUCAGCAACACCAGCGAUACAUGCUGCAGAUGCCAUCUCGCCACUCAUCAGUUCAGGAGACCUCGCGAUUUCAGCCUAUGUCAUUUCAAAGCAAUUCAUCACCACUUCAAGAGUCCGGCGACAGUUCUCGAUUUGUAGGCCAAACGUCUAAUCAGAGCUUGACAUGUCAGAAACUCGCCUAUCGACCUACUGUUGAUUUCAAUCAACCGACGAGUCAAGUUCCACCAUUUAAUGUUGUCAAUCUCACAAAUAAUAGUAAUAAUAUGAUCAAUGAAGAAUUUAUUUCAGACUUUCUUCCCCCUUUUGACAAUCAAGGUGUAAAUCAAGGCGACAAUCAAGACCGAAAUGUAGGCAGUGGAAUCAGACGAGGACAAAAUGAAAAUCAAGGUGAUUACUAUAAUAAUAAUAAUAAUAAUAAUAAUGGUAAUGGUAAUUAGAUAUUAGUGGAUAUCAGGCCUGCAGCCUUUUUUGCUUCUACCGCCCUUGCAUUGUUUGUGACUUUGGCGCGAGAUCUGCGUUGCAUCUUUGUCUAUUGAAUAUUGUCAUUUUGCUCAAAAUGUAUUUUGAAAGGUCAUGUUGUUGGGGACUGUAGCAUAAGUGGUGCUGUUAAAUCUUAGAUUAAGGGUUAUCAUUUUGAAUUAUUGGGUGGAGUUGGCUUGGUGCUUCAAUUUGGGAGUGUCACUAGCAAUACUGCAGAGAUGAUUUUUAGCUUUAUUAUUGGUUGGAGUUGGCUUGGUGCUUCAAUUUGGGAGUGCUUCAAUUUGAAAGAUCACAUACUGUCACUAGCUUGGUCUGAUAUAUGUACACUAGCUUGUAUUGUUUUGAGUAUUGCAUUUUCUAACCUGUAACUUUGGUGCUUGGAUCCUGGUAGUUUCUUAUAGGUUGGUGUAGUUUUAUGUUGAAUUGGAGAACUAUAGUGUUUGGAUAUAGUUCCU